Ruaniaceae bacterium KH17 is the source of this 57-nucleotide regulatory RNA element. It matches the Rfam family "Actino-pnp RNA". The record is from Rfam. Lineage: Bacteria; Bacillati; Actinomycetota; Actinomycetes; Micrococcales; Ruaniaceae.
UUCGGUCUUCGGUAGUGGCUUCCGGAAAUCUUCCGUGGGCUUCGAUCGAUGGCCGCC